GAUGAAGAACGUAGCGAAAUGCGAUAAGUAGUGUGAAUUGCAGAAUUCAGUGAAUCAUCGAAUCUUUGAACGCACAUUGCGCCCUUUGGUAUUCCUUAGGGCAUGCCUGUUCGAGCGUCAUUUAAACCUUCAAGCUCAGCUUGGUGUUGGGUGACUGUCCGCUUCACCGCGGACUCGCCUCAAAAUUAUUGGCGGCCGGUACAUUGGCUUCGAGCGCAGCAGAAACGCGAACUCGGGUCCGUCGUAUUGGCUCCCAGAAGCUAUCUUCACAAUUUUGACCUCGGAUCAGGUAGGGAUACCCGCUGAACUUAAGCAUAUCAAUAAGCGGAGGA
RNAcentral lists this unclassified non-coding RNA (332 nucleotides) under soil metagenome. RNAcentral describes it as "partial contains 5.8S ribosomal RNA, internal transcribed spacer 2, and large subunit ribosomal RNA". The stretch from base 1 to 120 matches the Rfam family "5.8S ribosomal RNA", at positions 35 to 154 of the family's 154-position model. The record is from RNAcentral.